This 492-nucleotide ribosomal RNA is filed under the name uncultured bacterium. Its description in RNAcentral is "partial 16S ribosomal RNA". It matches the Rfam family "Bacterial small subunit ribosomal RNA", at positions 29 to 507 of the family's 1533-position model. The record is from RNAcentral.
AGUGAACGCUGGCGGUAGGCCUAACACAUGCAAGUCGAACGGCAGCACAGUAAGAGCUUGCUCUUACGGGUGGCGAGUGGCGGACGGGUGAGGAAUACAUCGGAAUCUACUUUUUCGUGGGGGAUAACGUAGGGAAACUUACGCUAAUACCGCAUACGACCUACGGGUGAAAGCAGGGGAUCUUCGGACCUUGCGCGAUUGAAUGAGCCGAUGUCGGAUUAGCUAGUUGGCGGGGUAAAGGCCCACCAAGGCGACGAUCCGUAGCUGGUCUGAGAGGAUGAUCAGCCACACUGGAACUGAGACACGGUCCAGACUCCUACGGGAGGCAGCAGUGGGGAAUAUUGGUCAAUGGGCGCAAGCCUGAUCCAGCCAUACCGCGUGGGUGAAGAAGGCCUUCGGGUUGUAAAGCCCUUUUGUUGGGAAAGAAAAGCAGCAGGUUAAUACCCCGCUGUUCUGACGGUACCCAAAGAAUAAGCACCGGCCAACUUCGUG